This 73-nucleotide transfer RNA is filed under the name Paramuricea clavata. It matches the Rfam family "tRNA". From Rfam's summary of the family: Transfer RNA (tRNA) molecules are approximately 80 nucleotides in length. Their secondary structure includes four short double-helical elements and three loops (D, anti-codon, and T loops). Further hydrogen bonds mediate the characteristic L-shaped molecular structure. tRNAs have two regions of fundamental functional importance: the anti-codon, which is responsible for specific mRNA codon recognition, and the 3' end, to which the tRNAs corresponding amino acid is attached (by aminoacyl-tRNA synthetases). tRNAs cope with the degeneracy of the genetic code in two manners: having more than one tRNA (with a specific anti-codon) for a particular amino acid; and 'wobble' base-pairing, i.e. permitting non-standard base-pairing at the 3rd anti-codon position. The record is from Rfam by way of RNAcentral. Lineage: Eukaryota; Metazoa; Cnidaria; Anthozoa; Malacalcyonacea; Plexauridae.
GACUGCGUAGCUCAGUUGGCAGAGUAUUGGGCUAGUAUUCCAAUGGUCAUAGGUUCGAUUCCCACCGUGGCCA